GCAAGUCGAACGAGAAAGUGGGGGCAACUCCAUGAGUAAAGUGGCAGACGGGUGAGUAACACGUGAACAACCUACCCUUGAGUGUGGAAUAACACCGCGAAAGCGGUGCUAAUACCGCAUAACAUCUUCGGGUCGCAUGAUCUGGAGAUCAAAAGCGCAAGUUGCUUGAGGAGGGGUUCGCGCCUGAUUAGCUAGUUGGUGAGGUAACGGCCCACCAAGGCUUCGAUCAGUAGCCGGCCUGAGAGGGCGAACGGCCACACUGGAACUGAGACACGGUCCAGACUCCUACGGGAGGCAGCAGUGGGGAAUUUUGCGCAAUGGGCGAAAGCCUGACGCAGCAACGCCGCGUGGAGGAUGGAGGCCUUCGGGUCGUAAACUCCUGUCAGUAGGGACGAAUGCCUCGCAAGAGGUUUGACUGUACCUGCUGAGGAAGCCACGGCUAACUCCGUGCCAGCAGCCGCGGUAAUACGGAGGUGGCAAGCGUUGUUCGGAAUUACUGGGCGUAAAGGGCGCGUAGGCGGCAUUGCAAGUCAGAUGUGAAAGCCCCGAGCUUAACUCGGGAAUUGCAUCUGAAACUGCUUUGCUUGAGUCCUGGAGGGGGUAGUGGAAUUCCCAGUGUAGCGGUGAAAUGCGUAGAUAUUGGGAGGAACACCUGCGGCGAAGGCGGCUACCUGGACAGUGACUGACGCUGAGGCGCGAAAGCUAGGGGAGCGAACGGGAUUAGAUACCCCGGUAGUCCUAGCUGUAAACGAUGGGCACUUGGUGUUGGGGGUAUUGAGUCCCUCGGUGCCGGAGUUAACACGUUAAGUGCCCCGCCUGGGGAGUACGGUCGCAAGACUGAAACUCAAAGGAAUUGACGGGGGCCCGCACAAGCGGUGGAGCAUGUGGUUUAAUUCGACGCAACGCGAAGAACCUUACCUAGCCUUGACAUGCAUCUCUAAGUCGGUGAAAGCCGGCGACUGUAGCAAUACAGAAUUUGCACAGGUGCUGCAUGGCUGUCGUCAGCUCGUGUCGUGAGAUGUUGGGUUAAGUCCCGCAACGAGCGCAACCCCUGUGAACUGUUGCCACCGGCCUUCGGGCCGAGCACUCUGUUCAGACUGCCCUGUGAAACGGGGAGGAAGGUGGGGAUGACGUCAAGUCAGCAUGGCCCUUACGGCUAGGGCUGCACACGUACUACAAUGCUCAGUACAGAACGAACCGAAACCGCGAGGUGGAGGAAAUCCCUAAAACUGAGCCCAAUUCGGAUUGGAGGCUGCAACUCGCCUCCAUGAAGCCGGAAUCGCUAGUAAUGGCGUAUCAGCUACGACGCCGUGAAUACGUUCCCGGGCCUUGUACACACCGCCCGUCACAUCAUGGAAGUCACUUGUACCCGAAGUGCAUGCGCCAACCGCAAGGAGGCAGUGCCCUAA
Molecule: ribosomal RNA, 1409 nt
Filed under: metagenome
Description: bacterial SSU rRNA
Rfam family: Bacterial small subunit ribosomal RNA
Source: RNAcentral